CACGUAGGCACCAAGCGUUAUCCGGAUUUAUUGGGCGUAAAGAGCUCGUAGGCGGUUCGGUAAGUCGGGUGUGAAAACUCUGGGCUCAACCCAGAGAGGCCACCCGAUACUGCUGUGACUAGAGUGCGGUAGGGGAGCGGGGAAUUCCUGGUGUAGCGGUGAAAUGCGCAGAUAUCAGGAAGAACACCCGUGGCUAAGGCGGCUCUCUAGUACGGUACUGACGCUGAGACGCGAAAGCGUGGGGAGCGAACAGG
Molecule: ribosomal RNA, 254 nt
Filed under: uncultured bacterium
Lineage: Bacteria
Description: partial 16S ribosomal RNA
Rfam family: Bacterial small subunit ribosomal RNA
Source: RNAcentral